This 770-nucleotide ribosomal RNA is filed under the name Russula sp. Its description in RNAcentral is "partial large subunit ribosomal RNA". The record is from RNAcentral. Lineage: Eukaryota; Fungi; Basidiomycota; Agaricomycetes; Russulales; Russulaceae.
CGCUGGACUAUGCACAAGUCUCCUGGAAUGGAGCGUCAUAGAGGGUGAGAAUCCCGUCUUUGGCAUAGAUUACCAGGGCUUCUGUGAUGCGCUCUCAAAGAGUCGAGUUGUUUGGGAAUGCAGCUCAAAAUGGGUGGUGAACUCCAUCUAAAGCUAAAUAUUGGCGAGAGACCGAUAGCGAACAAGUACCGUGAGGGAAAGAUGAAAAGCACUUUGGAAAGAGAGUGAAACAGUACGUGAAAUUGUUGAAAGGGAAACGCUUAAAGUCAGUCGCAUCACCUGAGACUCAGCCUUGCCUUGGCUUGGUGUACUUCUCAGCUGAUGGGUCAACAUCAAUUUUGAUCCUUAGAUAAUGGCAAGGGAAAUGUGGCACCUUUUACAGGUGUGUUAUAGUCCUCUGUCGGAUGUGAGGGUUGGGAUUGAGGAACUCAGCAUGCACCUUUGGUGUCGGGGCUAUUAGCCUACGUUACAUGCUUAGGAUGUUGGCAUAAUGGCUUUAAACGACCCGUCUUGAAACACGGACCAAGGAGUCUAACAUACCCGCGAGUGUUUGGGUGGAAAACCCAUGUGCGUAAUGAAAGUAAAAGUUGGGACCCUCUCUCAUAGGAGGGCACCGACGCCCGGACCAGACCUUCUGUGACGGCUCUGCGGUAGAGCGUGUAUGUUGGGACCCSAAAGAUGGUGAACUAUGCCUGAAUAGGGKGAAGUCARAGGAAACUCUGGUGGAGGCUCGUAGCGAUUCUGACGUGCAAAUCGAUCGUCAAAUUUGG